UUGUAUGGUAAAUUGCCCGUCCACGCAGGAAGCAUAGCUGAUGAACUCAUGGAAGAAAUAAAGAAGGAAAGUAUUCAUAUAUGGUUCCAACUUUGUAAAAAUGGGGCAUGCUUAAAUGAAGAUAUAACAAUUGUUUUUGAAACAUUUGUUGAAUCUACACUAUUGUACAACCAACAUUUGUCCUUGACUACCCAGUUGAGAUAUCACCAUUGGCAAAACCACAUCGGAGCAUCAUAG
RNAcentral lists this unclassified non-coding RNA (237 nucleotides) under Zea mays. Its description in RNAcentral is "misc RNA Zm00001eb373740". Lineage: Eukaryota; Viridiplantae; Streptophyta; Magnoliopsida; Poales; Poaceae. The record is from RNAcentral.